GACGAACGCUGGCGGCGUGCCUAAUACAUGCAAGUUGAGCGCUGAAGGUUGGUACUUGUACCGACUGGAUGAGCAGCGAACGGGUGAGUAACGCGUGGGGAAUCUGCCUUUGAGCGGGGGACAACAUUUGGAAACGAAUGCUAAUACCGCAUAAAAACUUUAAACACAAGUUUUAAGUUUGAAAGAUGCAAUUGCAUCACUCAAAGAUGAUCCCGCGUUGUAUUAGCUAGUUGGUGAGGUAAAGGCUCACCAAGGCGAUGAUACAUAGCCGACCUGAGAGGGUGAUCGGCCACAUUGGGACUGAGACACGGCCCAAACGCCUACGGGAGACAGCAGUAGGGAAUCUUCGGCAAUGGACGAAAGUCUGACCGAGCAACGCCGCGUGAGUGAAGAAGGUUGUCGGAUCGUAAAACUCUGUUGGUAGAGAAGAACGUUGGUGAGAGUGGAAAGCUCAUCAAGUGACGGUAACUACCCAGAAAGGGACGGCUAACUACGUG
Molecule: ribosomal RNA, 497 nt
Filed under: uncultured bacterium
Lineage: Bacteria
Description: partial 16S ribosomal RNA
Rfam family: Bacterial small subunit ribosomal RNA
Source: RNAcentral